Molecule: ribosomal RNA, 254 nt
Filed under: uncultured bacterium
Lineage: Bacteria
Description: partial 16S ribosomal RNA
Rfam family: Bacterial small subunit ribosomal RNA
Source: RNAcentral
CACGUAGGGGGCGAGCGUUGUCCGGAUUUAUUGGGCGUAAAGAGCUCGUAGGCGGCUCAGUAAGUCGGGUGUGAAAACUCCAGGCUCAACCUGGAGACGCCACCUGAUACUGCUGUGGCUAGAGUCCGGUGGGGGAGCAUGGAAUUCCUGGUGUAGCGGUGAAAUGCGCAGAUAUCAGGAGGAACACCAGUGGCGAAGGCGGUGCUCUGGGCCGGAACUGACGCUGAGGAGCGAAAGCGUGGGGAGCGAACAGG